CCUGGGUUCAAUCCCUGGGUUGGGAAGAUAUCCUGGAGAAGGGAAAGGCUUCCCACUCCAGUAUUCUGGCCUGGAGGAUUCUGUGGACUACAAUCCAUGGGGUUGCAAAGAGGUGGACACGACUGAGCGACUUUUGCUUUCUCUUUCAGGCCCGAUCUCAGACCCACAGAGUCAGAAUCUGAAUUGUAACAGGACUCUCAGGUGAAGCAUAUGCACGUUUAAGUCUGAGAAACACUGUUCUAAAUAUCCUGUUGAAUAAUAUGUUGAAGAGCACAGAGUCACAGAAAAUGAAGUUUUGUUUCUGGUUUUAUUUUAUAAAAAUGAAGUUUUAUUUAUUUAUUUCUAACUACAGAUUCAUUUCACUGGUCUAUUCAUUGAUCAACAUGACACAUAGUGAUCGAUGCCCGUGGGAGCAGGAAAGCAAAAUAACUGAGAUAUCCAAUGCCAUGAAUAAAGCCAACUGAUGUUAUCAUGCUGCUGCAGGGGCAGUAAGAAAGCUGAACGCACUUGCAGUAGCUUCCCUGACGUUGCUUAGUGAAGAAACCCUGUGCUCUGUAGCCUGGCAUCCUACAUAAUCAAGUCUCUGCCCUCCUGCCAGAUGUGACUCCCCUAAAAUGGCAGGCUGCUUCCACUAGGAUGGCUCUCCUCCUCCUCCUAAUGACCCUCGGCCUCUUUUUGAUUAUGUGCUCUUGCAUUUCUGGUUUUCUCUUCUCAGUCUGUUUUGUUGUUGUUCAGUCGCUCAGUCCUGUCCGACUUUUUUGCAACCCCAUGGACUGCAGCACACCAGGCCUCCCUGUCCAUUGCUAACUCCCAGAGUUUACUCAAACUCAUGUCCAUUGAGUCAGUGAUGCCAUCCAGCCAUCUCAUCCUCUGUUUUCCCCUUCUCCUCCUGCCCUCAAUCUUUCCCAGCAUCAGGGUCUUUUCCAGUGAGUCAGUUCUUUGCAUCAUGUGGCCAAAGUUUUGAAGCUUCAGCUUCAGCAUCCGUCCUUCCAAUGAAUGUUCAGGGUUGAUUUCCUUUAUGAUGGACUGGUUGGAUCUCCUUGCAGUCCAAGGGACUCUCAAGAGUCUUCUCCAACACCACAGUUCAAAAGCAUCAAUUCUUUGGUGCUCAGACUCCUUUAUGGUCCAACUCUCACAUCCGUACAUGACUACUGGAG
RNAcentral lists this long non-coding RNA (1157 nucleotides) under Bos indicus x Bos taurus (hybrid cattle). RNAcentral's name for it is "lncRNA (ENSBIXG00005007828.1)". Lineage: Eukaryota; Metazoa; Chordata; Mammalia; Artiodactyla; Bovidae. The record is from RNAcentral.